GACGAACGCUGGCGGCGUGCUUAACACAUGCAAGUCGAGCGGUAAGGCCCUUCGGGGUACACGAGCGGCGAACGGGUGAGUAACACGUGGGUGACCUGCCUCUAGCUCUGGGAUAAGCCUGGGAAACUGGGUCUAAUACCGGAUAUGACUCCACGGCGCAUGUUGUGGGGUGGAAAGCCUUGUGUAGGCUAGAGAUGGGCCCGCGGCCUAUCAGCUUGUUGGUGGGGUGAUGGCCUACCAAGGCGACGACGGGUAGCCGGCCUGAGAGGCGACCGGCCACACUGGGACCUGAGACACGGCCCAGACUCCUACGGGAGGCAGCAGU
This 325-nucleotide ribosomal RNA is filed under the name uncultured bacterium. Its description in RNAcentral is "bacterial SSU rRNA". It matches the Rfam family "Bacterial small subunit ribosomal RNA", at positions 28 to 355 of the family's 1533-position model. The record is from RNAcentral.